AGAGUUUGAUCCUGGCUCAGGAUGAACGCUGGCGGCGUGCUUAACACAUGCAAGUCGAACGAUGAACCUCACUUGUGGGGGGAUUAGUGGCGAACGGGUGAGUAACACGUGAGUAACCUGCCCUUAACUCUGGGAUAAGCCUGGGAAACUGGGUCUAAUACCGGAUAUGACUCCUCAUCGCAUGGUGGGGGGUGGAAAGCUUUAUUGUGGUUUUGGAUGGACUCGCGGCCUAUCAGCUUGUUGGUGAGGUAGUGGCUCACCAAGGCGACGACGGGUAGCCGGCCUGAGAGGGUGACCGGCCACACUGGGACUGAGACACGGCCCAGACUCCUACGGGAGGCAGCAGUGGGGAAUAUUGCACAAUGGGCGCAAGCCUGAUGCAGGGACGCCGCGUGAGGGAUGACGGCCUUCGGGUUGUAAACCUCUUUCAGUAGGGAAGAAGCGAAAGUGACGGUACCUGCAGAAGAAGCGCCGGCUAACUACGUGCCAGCAGCCGCGGUAAUACGUAGGGCGCAAGCGUUAUCCGG
RNAcentral lists this ribosomal RNA (527 nucleotides) under uncultured bacterium. RNAcentral describes it as "bacterial SSU rRNA". It matches the Rfam family "Bacterial small subunit ribosomal RNA", at positions 8 to 548 of the family's 1533-position model. The record is from RNAcentral.